RNAcentral lists this ribosomal RNA (434 nucleotides) under uncultured Ruminococcus sp. RNAcentral's name for it is "bacterial SSU rRNA". It matches the Rfam family "Bacterial small subunit ribosomal RNA", at positions 341 to 792 of the family's 1533-position model. Lineage: Bacteria; Bacillati; Bacillota; Clostridia; Eubacteriales; Oscillospiraceae. The record is from RNAcentral.
ACGGGAGGCAGCAGUGGGGAAUAUUGCACAAUGGGCGCAAGCCUGAUGCAGCGAUGCCGCGUGAGGGAAGAAGGUUUUCGGAUUGUAAACCUCUGUCAACAGGGACGAAAAUGACGGUACCUGUGAAGGAAGCUCCGGCUAACUACGUGCCAGCAGCCGCGGUAAUACGUAGGGUGCAAGCGUUAUCCGGAAUUACUGGGUGUAAAGGGAGUGUAGGCGGGACUGUAAGUCAGAUGUGAAAUAUGCCGGCUCAACUGGCAGACUGCAUUUGAAACUGCGGUUCUUGAGUGAAGUAGAGGUAAGCGGAAUUCCUAGUGUAGCGGUGAAAUGCGUAGAUAUUAGGAGGAACAUCAGUGGCGAAGGCGGCUUCCUGGGCUUUAACUGACGCUGAGGCUCGAAAGCGUGGGGAGCAAACAGGAUUAGAUACCCUGGUA